Molecule: long non-coding RNA, 1295 nt
Filed under: Pan troglodytes (chimpanzee)
Lineage: Eukaryota; Metazoa; Chordata; Mammalia; Primates; Hominidae
Description: long non-coding RNA NONPTRT008865
Source: RNAcentral
GCGACCUAGCUGGCUGGGGCAGGGGAGGGGCCCGCCUUAUAUGGGAGCUGCGUGGGGACAAACUGCUCGGGCCCAACGCGCGGGGCUGAGAGACCGCCACGCCUGCUCCGGGUCACUCCGGCCACCUGGGGGGCGUCGGCGCGCAGACUCUGGCCAGUUCAGUAUUCAAACUCUUCAGGAGUGCUAACUUACUCAUGACAGCGAUUUUCUGUAUCGGGGUUUCAUUGGUCGGUGGUUUAGAAGGUUUUGCUCAUUCAUUCGUUAAUGUAAUUCCAACAACCUACACGUGUUUAUAAGCCCCCUUUCCAUCCACGACUUUGCAGUCUGGCACAAAACGGACCAUCGCAGCCCGGCAGCCGCUUUAGACAACAAACAGCAUGCCUGGAGCUUUUCAAUAGGAGGCAGUAAGGCUUGAUGAUCACAGACGAUACGGAACGGGCACUUUCUUAGCAGAAAAUAUUUCUAUUGGGGCGUGAAGGAAGUUUCUGAAAGGGAAGAUUAUUAUAAGAUAAGGGGUUUGCUCAUCUUCUCAGACUUUAGUGUGCCUGCUUUAAAGUGUUUUGCAAACUUGAAUGUUUAAAGGAAUCACCUGGCGGUCUUGUGAAACUGCAGCUUCUAAUGAGCAAGUCAGAGGGGAAGCCUGAGACGUGGCAUUUCCAGCACGUUCGGGGAGUGAAGAUGCUGUCGGCUGCCACCCUCCCUGCAAGGAGCCAGGGGAUAGAUGACCUCUACGCAAACUGUGAGAGCUUAAAAUAACUGAUAGUGAAAAACAGUUACAGAAGCUCUAGGCCGGGCACGGUGGCUAAUGCCUGUAAUCCCAGCACUUUGGGAGGCCGAGGAGGAUGGAUUGCCAGAACUCAGGAGUUCGAGACCAGCCUGGGCAACACGCUCCCCUCAAUGGGAAGUGGAAUCUCUUUCUCCACCUCUUCAAUAUGGCUGGCCCUGGAACUUCCCUUGGCACACAGAAUGCAGCAGAAUUGGCUUCAUAUUGUUUCUAAGCCUUGGCCUCAGAGGCCUUGCAUGCUUCCUAACCCUGGCUCUAGGAAACUUGCUGCUGUCAUGUAAUCAAGCCCAGGCUAACCUGCUGAAUGUUGGUGUGUCCCAGUCAAAUCCAGCACUGCAACCAAUAGCCAGCCAGCCACCAGACAUGUGAGUGGGGCCACCUCACACCAGCCAACCUCCACCAAGUCAUCAGAUGUAUGAGUGAGAACAGCCCAGAACAACUGAGCCCGUCCAGACCAGCGGAACGACCAAGCUGACCAGUAGACUUAGGAGCAGUAAACAGAUGAUUGUUC